UUGCUUGCUUCAGCACCCCAUGUACUAAAAUUGGAAUGAUACAGAAAAGAUUAGCAUGAAUUCUGCUCAAGGAUGACACUCAAAUUCAUGAAGCAUUCCAUUUUUUG
This 107-nucleotide small nuclear RNA is filed under the name Notamacropus eugenii (tammar wallaby). The record is from RNAcentral. Lineage: Eukaryota; Metazoa; Chordata; Mammalia; Diprotodontia; Macropodidae.